This 569-nucleotide ribosomal RNA is filed under the name uncultured fungus. Its description in RNAcentral is "eukaryotic LSU rRNA". The stretch from base 217 to 370 matches the Rfam family "5.8S ribosomal RNA". Lineage: Eukaryota; Fungi. The record is from RNAcentral.
CUUGGUCAUUUAGAGGAAGUAAAAGUCGUAACAAGGUCUCCGUUGGUGAACCAGCGGAGGGAUCAUUACCGAGUUUACAACUCCCAAACCCCUGUGAACAUACCUAUACGUUGCCUCGGCGGAUCAGCCCGCGCCCCGUAAAACGGGACGGCCCGCCCGAGGACCCUAAACUCUGUUUUUAGUGGAACUUCUGAGUAAAACAAACAAAUAAAUCAAAACUUUCAACAACGGAUCUCUUGGUUCUGGCAUCGAUGAAGAACGCAGCAAAAUGCGAUAAGUAAUGUGAAUUGCAGAAUUCAGUGAAUCAUCGAAUCUUUGAACGCACAUUGCGCCCGCCAGUAUUCUGGCGGGCAUGCCUGUUCGAGCGUCAUUUCAACCCUCAAGCUCAGCUUGGUGUUGGGACUCGCGGUAACCCGCGUUCCCCAAAUCGAUUGGCGGUCACGUCAAGCUUCCAUAGCGUAGUAAUCAUACACCUCGUUACUGGUAAUCGUCGCGGCCACGCCGUUAAACCCCAACUUCUGAAUGUUGACCUCGGAUCAGGUAGGAAUACCCGCUGAACUUAAGCAUAU